RNAcentral lists this transfer RNA (89 nucleotides) under Christensenellaceae bacterium. RNAcentral describes it as "tRNA-Ser". It matches the Rfam family "tRNA". Rfam says of the family: Transfer RNA (tRNA) molecules are approximately 80 nucleotides in length. Lineage: Bacteria; Bacillati; Bacillota; Clostridia; Christensenellales; Christensenellaceae. The record is from RNAcentral.
GGAGGAAUAGCGAAGCGGUCAUAACGCGGCGGUCUUGAAAACCGUUUAGGGGAAACCCUACGGGGGUUCGAAUCCCUCUUCCUCCGCCA